UGGGGAAUAUUGGACAAUGGGCGAAAGCCUGAUCCAGCCAUGCCGCGUGUGUGAAGAAGGUCUUCGGAUUGUAAAGCACUUUAAGUUGGGAGGAAGGGCAUUAACCUAAUACGUUAGUGUUUUGACGUUACCGACAGAAUAAGCACCGGCUAACUCUGUGCCAGCAGCCGCGGUAAUACAGAGGGUGCAAGCGUUAAUCGGAAUUACUGGGCGUAAAGCGCGCGUAGGUGGUUUGUUAAGUUGGAUGUGAAAUCCCCGGGCUCAACCUGGGAACUGCAUUCAAAACUGACUGACUAGAGUAUGGUAGAGGGUGGUGGAAUUUCCUGUAUAGCGGUGAAAUGCGUAGAUAUAGGAAGGAACACCAGUGGCGAAGGCGACCACCUGGACUAAUACUGACACUGAGGUGCGAAAGCGUGGGGAGCAAACA
RNAcentral lists this ribosomal RNA (427 nucleotides) under uncultured bacterium. RNAcentral's name for it is "partial 16S ribosomal RNA". It matches the Rfam family "Bacterial small subunit ribosomal RNA", at positions 355 to 774 of the family's 1533-position model. The record is from RNAcentral.